UAGGGAAAUCUUCCACAAAUGGACGAAAGUCUGAUGGAGCAAUGCCGCGUGAGUGAAGAAGGUUUUCGGAUCGUAAAACCUCUAGUUGUGAGGGAAGAACAAGUACGGGAGUAACUGUCCGUACCUUGACGGUACCUCAUUUAGAAAGCCACGGCUAACUACGUGCCAGCAGCCGCGGUAAAUACGUAGGUGGCAAGCGUUGUCCGGAAUUAUUGGGCGUAAAGCGCGCGCAGGCGGCCUUUAAGUCUGAUGUGAAAGCCCUACGGCUCAACCGUGGAAGGUCAUUGGAAACUGAAAGGCUUGAGUACAGAAGAGGAAAGCGGAAUUCCACGUGUAGCGGUGAAAUGCGUAGAGGAUGUGGAGGAACACCAGUGGCGAAGGCGGCUUUCUGGUCUGUAACUGACGCUGAGGCGCGAAAGCGUGGGGAGCAAACAGGAUUAGAUACCCUGGUAGUCCACGCCGUAAACGAUGAGUGCUAAGUGUUAGGGGGUUUCCGCCCCUUAGUGCUGGAGCAAACG
Molecule: ribosomal RNA, 518 nt
Filed under: uncultured Bacillota bacterium
Lineage: Bacteria; Bacillati; Bacillota
Description: bacterial SSU rRNA
Rfam family: Bacterial small subunit ribosomal RNA
Source: RNAcentral